Molecule: ribosomal RNA, 526 nt
Filed under: uncultured bacterium
Lineage: Bacteria
Description: partial 16S ribosomal RNA
Rfam family: Bacterial small subunit ribosomal RNA
Source: RNAcentral
UGGGGAAUUUUGGACAAUGGGCGAAAGCCUGAUCCAGCAAUGCCGCGUGUGUGAAGAAGGCCUUCGGGUUGUAAAGCACUUUUGUCCGGAAAGAAAUCCUUGGCUCUAAUACAGUCGGGGGAUGACGGUACCGGAAGAAUAAGCACCGGCUAACUACGUGCCAGCAGCCGCGGUAAUACGUAGGGUGCAAGCGUUAAUCGGAAUUACUGGGCGUAAAGCGUGCGCAGGCGGUUUGCUAAGACCGAUGUGAAAUCCCCGGGCUCAACCUGGGAACUGCAUUGGUGACUGGCAGGCUAGAGUAUGGCAGAGGGGGGUAGAGUUCCACGUGUAGCAGUGAAAUGCGUAGAGAUGUGGAGGAAUACCGAUGGCGAAGGCAGCCCCCUGGGCCAAUACUGACGCUCAUGCACGAAAGCGUGGGGAGCAAACAGGAUUAGAUACCCUGGUAGUCCACGCCCUAAACGAUGUCAACUAGUUGUUGGGGAUUCAUUUCCUUAGUAACGUAGCUAACGCGUGAAGUUGACCGCCU